UCCAUGCUAGCGCAGUGGAUAGCGCGUUGGACUUCUAAUCCAAAAGUUCCGGCUUCAAUCCGGCUGUGAUG
Non-coding RNA from Araneus ventricosus, 71 nucleotides. NCBI's taxonomy places the organism in Eukaryota, Metazoa, Arthropoda, Arachnida, Araneae, Araneidae. The record is from the annotation of a GenBank genome assembly.